CAGCUUAUUUUGGGAACCACUCUAUCAUGAAGAUGCAUUUGUUCUUGGAGCAGCCUCAGAAAGCCUCCUCUUUAUCCAACUGUCUCUUGAUUAAAGAAGCAGCUGAUGUAUACUACAUAAAUAAUGUUUUUUCUCUGGAAAAGUUGUCUUAUUGUCAAGAUUUUUCUUAUUGCAAGGAAGAUAUUUUAUUGCUAAAUAUUUGUUAAUUGUCUGUUUUGAUAACACAGAAUGAAAGAUGGCUCCUGGAAAGCUGGGUACAGUCAUCUGAUAAAUUACAAAUAGUAAAUCUUUAUAAUAAAAUAUAUGGCAUUUUUAUUGUAUGAACAAUGUGCUUCCGAAGCAGGAGAUUCAGCAAGCAUUUCACAAAACUCACAGAAAAAUAUAAUCAUCAACAUCCUGCAAGGACAAGCAGUACUUCACUAAUUGAGAUGUAUCAGCAUGCAUGGCAUAUAUGGUCAUUCUGAAAGUCAUCAGAUGGAGAAGGUAGAAGUGAAACCCUCAGUGGUCUAUUCUUACAUAUUAAUCACUUCUCAAGGAAAAUCCACGAAGACAGUUUUCUUUUGUUAAAGUAUCAUCUUACUACUUCAGUGUUCUGUAAUGAGGACUGGAGCUGCUCUAAGUGGAUCAGUCCCCAUCUUCUUCCUGAGAUGUAGAUUCUUCGAAGUUUGCAUUGAAGACAGUCUUUUGUUCCUCUGAACUUGUGAAAAGUAGAUUAAUUUCUUGACUCCUCCAUAGGAGACAUCAUAAGUGUUAUUUAUUUAUUUUUUUUGAAUUGCCAAGGCUAAGAAUUCUCUUGAUAUUUAGCAUGGAUUUUUGGACUUCUCUUAACCAAAUAAAUAAAGUGCUGAAAGUUCAUACUAGAAAGAAGCAUCUGAUUUUGGGCAGAAGAGAAGCAAAUAAUCUCUUUUGUUUAGAACAGAAUGUGUGGUUACUCAAAAGUGGCUUGGUUAGGGUACAGUCGCAAAUGAGGUGGUCUAUUUCCUCUUUUCCAUCCAUUUAUUCAUUCAAGCUUCCCCCAGACCCACUUCAGUCUAUCAGUAAUGUUCACCUUUCCAAUUCCUGGGUUGUCAAUGUCCUUUAUAUGAGAAUAAAAUAGAAAUAGAUAAGUAUUUGAUAGAUAAAACCACGAGUCUAUUUUGUUCACUACUGAAUUCAUUAUUUUGUGAAAAUGUGGAACCUUACACUUAGUGAAUGUAUGAACAAAAUCCCAAUAAGGAGUUAUUAAAUUUUUGCUCUAAUUCCUGGAAUAAUGGGCAUUUAAAUGAAAAGAAAAUAAUGUAACUCUCCCUUUCUCAAAGGAAUCUCUUGAGGUGAUAUUUAAUGUGGGGAAGGCAGGAGUCAAGGAGUAAAGGAGGUGAAGGUAAUGUGGGAGGGAAGAGAGGCUUUCUCCUUUUGCCCUAAAUUACAAUUUCUGGGUCCCUGACAAUGCCUUACAUGCAGAGGGCCAAAUGAGACAUUCAUGGAUAAUUCCCUUAUGUUCAUAAAAUGGCUUAAAUCUUUAACUACUUUGACCCACCUUAAUACAGAACUGCUGAGAGACAACUGUUGUUAUUCUAGGUGAGGAAACAGAGGUGCCUUCAAAUCCUCCCAAGACAAAAUGGGGUGCCUUUAUGUAAUUCCCAGCCCUCCCAAGGAGCAUUCCCCAGGGGAAUUAUACAUGCCAGAAUUAAAAAGUAAGAUAUUUAUCUUUUAUUUUUAACAGAAUCUAGAUGAAUGAGGACACAUAAUAAGCAUAUUGUCAAAUAUAUCUGUGUAUUUUACAUGUAUAAUAUAUAUAUAAAUACAAGUACAUGGAAAUCAAUUGUGAUAAAAUUUCCAGUCUCUAUCAUGAAAUCAAAACAAAGGAGUGUCCUUAAAUAGCUCAGUGCUAGCUGCAGAAUAAAAUGUUGAGUGUAUUUCCAAUAAAUUCUUUAACAAAAACAAGACACAAAUACAUCAGGCAAUUGAUAAGGCAAACAAAAUCUCAUUACAGAAGAUGCUAAGUAAAUACAAUUAUUAUUUUUCCAACACCAUCCAUCAGACUAAGAAACUUUCAGCUCAUCUACAAAGCUUUUAAUUGUCAAAAAUAAAUAAACAUGAGACCAAAUUUCCAUUGAUUACACUAAAACCACCCAAUUGCCAUAAAAUAUAUAGUAACUCAUACUAUGAAAUUUUAACACAGAUAUUUAAUCUGUAUUUAUAAAAUAAAAGCUAGAGUUACAGUUCUGUACAUCAGAAACUUUACAUUGUAAAUAUUGGAGAUGAAUGCUCCACAGAGGAAGUUCAUUAUGAAACAUUUUGUAUAAUGGAAUGGGUAUGGCAAGAGUGGGUAUGGAAGUGGUUGUAAUCAAGGUUAUUAGCCAGAACUGGGGUCUCAUCCAAGACACAACUGGGAAGGAGCCACUUAUGUGACCACACAGCUGAUGGUAAAAAUCAUUUUCUCAUGGGCUGUUUACCCUUCCUUCCUGGCUCUUGGCCAGAAGCUAUCUUCAGUUCUUUGCCAGGGAGGGUCCCUCCAACAUGGCAGCAUGCAAACUAAGAAGGCAACAGAGAGAAUCUUCUAACAAAUUAGAAGUCAUGAGACUUUAUGAUCUAAUAAUGGAAACAAUAUUCCAUUCCCCUUUCCAUAUUAGGCUGGGCAUACAAAGAAGCAAAUCACAGGGCCGGUUGAUACUCAAGGGUAGGAGCCUACAGGUUGUGAAUAUCAGAUGCCUAAGAUCCUUGGGCACCAUCUUAGAGGUUUCCCACCACACUAACUGCACUUGAAAAUGAUGUCGAAAAUGUCAAAUAUAUUAAAAGAUAAAACUAUAGUUUCGGGCAAAAUAAUAAGAAAAAAUAAUGUUUAAGGGCCAUUUUAAAAACGUCACCUUAAAAUAUUUUUUAAAUCUCAAAAGAGAAAUAAAGAUGUAAAAUACUGUAUCAAAAGAAAUGCAAAUUAAAACAAUAUAUCAUUUUUGCAUGUCAAAUUGGAACAUAUUAAACAUUUAGUUGAUAAUAUCUAUUGUUGGCAAGGGCAAACAGGUACUUUAUAAUCUACUUAUGUGGUCAAACAUUUCUGAGGGAAAUCUGGAAAUAUCAAGAUUUCCAUAUCUUUUGACUUACCAAUAUUACUUUUAGAUAUUUAUUUUUCCAGAAAUAAUUAAACCAAAGUUCACAAAUUGAUGCACAAGAAUGUUCAUUUUAAGUGAUAUGUAUACUGUUAGAAAAAUUGGAAAUUAUUUAGUAGUAUGUCAGGAAAGAUUGGCCAAAUAAAAUAUGUUAUGACAACUAUAAAAUAAAAUGUCUCACAGCUAUUAAAAUUAUUAUUCAUAUUUAUUAUUAUGAAAAUAUAUCUAUAAUAUACUUUUAAAUGAAAAGAGCAAACUAUCUAUAUAGAAAUGCAUUAUCUGUAUAAAACUAGAUGUGUAUAUGCUGACGUGUUGACAUCCAUAGGUGCAGAGGAAAAUAUGUGAAAGGAUAUGUAUCAAAAUAUUGAGAGCGAUUAUCUUUGACUUGUAGGUAAUGAAUAACCUUUAUUUUCCUUAUACCAUCUGUAUUUUCCAAUUUUUCUUGAGCAUAUUCACAUUUCAUAAUAUUAAAAAGAAAUUACUAUUUCCAAAAUAAUAUCUAAAAUUAUUACCUACUAGACCCUUAUAUGGGAAUGUUUCAAGCUUUCAUUACUAUAUCUGUUAACUGGAACAAUAUAGCAUCAUAAGAUUUUUUCAAGUUAAAUAUAUUUUUGUCUUCUGUUCAUAAAUGGAUAUGUUCCAACUCUUCUUGGCAAACUACAUUUACUUAAAAAAAUCCUUCAGAAUUCCAUAUACACACAAAUAUUAUCAGUCAACAUGGAACUGGAAAUUAACUGUCAGAUUUCUUCUUAACCUGGCUGUUCUGGAAGAAUAAUCCCCUGAGGGACCAGUAUUGAAGAUUUUGAUAAGUCAAAUAAGAAAACAAAUUUCUGUCAGCCAUAUAUAAUUAUUCACUUAUUAUUUUUUAUUUAUACCCUCAUUCUGGAGCAUCCACUAGGUUCGAGGCAUUGGGGUAAGUGCUAGCAAUGCAACAGUAAAUCAGAAACAGUCCUUGCCUGCUCUUACAGCCUAAUAAAGACAAAUCAAAGAACUUCACUGCUGAAGAUGUCUCAGAGACUACAGUCUAGAAUUCCCCAACCCCCAAUUCAUGAAUCAGAGAAGCAGAUUUUUAUACAUUUUUCUUUACCUAUAUUAAUUGAUAGCAGACCCAAAUUCAUUUCUCUCAACUAUUCUGUUGCAGGCAGAAUUCUAUGAAAGCCCCCACAAUCUUUCCCACUGCUGUUACUCCCAUGAUUUCAUUAUAUAAUACUGCAAAAGGGAUAUUGCAGACAUAAUCAAGAUUACUAAUCCAUUAAGAUGGAAAAUUCUCUGGCUCACUUAACCUAAUUGUAUGAGCCCCGUAAAAGCAAAGAGUUUUUUGUGGACAGUAACAGACAAGAAAGAAAAUUCAAAAUGUGAAAGAAAUUUGAUGUAAGGGAGGCUCUCUCUUGCUGGGAUAGAGGGGGCUGUAACGGAAGGACCUGAGGACAUUCCCUAGAAGCUGAGAGCAGUCUCCUGAUGACAGCCAGCAAGAAGGUGGGGGCGACAAGCUGGCAACUUGAUUUCAGCCUUUAUCAGAAAACUCCGGUCAUCACAAACUUCUGGCCUACCAAACUGAGAGCUACCAAAUUUGGUAAUGCAGCAAUAGAAAAGUAAUGCACAUUGUUUUUUCUUUGUAUGUCAUUCCUGGGGACUAGUUAGCACGUUACAGUACACCUGGAGCUGAGAUUCAUGGAUUUCAGCUAUCUUCUUUAUGUCCCAAUGUGGAAAUCGAAGUCCAAAAUUUCUAGCCAUAUUGGCCUUUUUUUGUGUGUCUUUUUCAGUUAAUUGAUUUAUUUUUUAUUUUGAAACAAUCUCAAACUUCUAGAAAGCUUGGAAGUAGAGCACACAUAUAUUUUUUUUCAGGAACCAUUUGGGUGCACACAUUGGUGACAUGACAUAAUGUCACCUCCAAAUACUUCAAAGCAACGCAUUUUUUUUUUCUCAACAAGGGCAUUCCCCUACAUACUUACAGUACAACCAUCAAAAUCAGGAACUUAAGGUCACUUCAGCUCUUGGAACUCAGUCAACUUUCACGAAGUAUCCAGAUAAUUUCCUUUACAUCCAAAGCUCCAUUUUGGAGUCACGUGUUGUGUUUGGUUAGUCUCCUUCAACUCGGAACAGUUUAUUAUAGAAUCCCUUGACUUUUAGGACCUUGAAACUUGAAGAUUACAAGCCAAUUAUUCUGGAAAAUGUCCUUCAAUUUAGAUUGUUCUGAUUUUCCUUUAUGAUAGUCAUAUACUUUUGUAGGAAUGUUAGAGAAAUAAUCUGUGUUCUUCUCACUACUAUAAAAUGGCACACAAUUUCAUUUUGUACCAAUACUAACGAUGUUAACAUUGAUCACUUAAGGUGGUGUCUGCCAAGUUCUCGAUUGUAAAGUAUUAUUUUUUGCUGUGUAAUUAACAAAUAUUUGUGGGAAAGUAAUUUCAGACUAUAUGAAUAUCCUAUUUGUUAUCAAUUUUUUAAUUUAUUCAUGCCUAAUUGAUCAACACAUACUCAUGGUUUAUUAUUUUAUUCCAUGUUUUAUAAUCUGUUGUUAUCAUUUAUUUUGGUACUCAAAUGGUCAGAAAUUUGGUCAAAAGGAACCUCUUGGAGUUGCUUCAGUGUUAUUUGACAAGUUCCAAGUCCCAAGUCCAUUUCUUCUUUCAACACUUUCUUACUUUCUGAUACAUCAAGAUGUCCUGGAAGAAUGUGGCCUUUUAUCUGAGAAAUACUGUCCCUUUUUAAUAAAAAGUGAUGUUUUGAAACUAAGAUCUGGACACUGAGUUUACUCAUUGCUUUUAGGAUGUUGUUAUCCCUAGGAACACUGGCUUUACCAUCUCCAAAACACUGUGCUCUCGGCUUCCCCAUGACUUUUGUAGAUGCUGUUCCCUCUACCUGAUUGUCCUUUCUUCUUCAGAUAGUGAACUCUUCCUACUCAUUCUUUAGAUCAAGGCUUAAAUCCUGCUUCUUCAAGGAAACUUUCCCUGGAUGCCUAGAUUGGUUGAGCCCUACACUCAUAGCAUCAUGUUCUUUUCAAUCUAGAAUAUAGCAAUUAUUUAGAAACAUAUACCUCCUCCUCAUUAGACUAAUAAACUUUGGAAGACAAAAUCUGGUUUUGAUCAACAUUGUAUCACUGAUGCCUAGCACAAGUCCUAAGACAUAGUAGUUCUCAACAAAUAUUUAUGGAAAUAAUAAAUGGGAGAGACAGUGAAUGAGUGAAUGAAUGAAAUCAGAAGUAAACCCCAGUGCUUUCCUAGCUAUUCCACAGUGGACACUUAGAACAAGGACAGAGCUCACUGAAAUAUAUUCUCUAAAUUCUUAGACAUAUGGUAAAAUUUUAUUCUUUCUAACAGAACCCUGAAUUUUUGCACACUGGAUCAGAUAAUUUUCCACAUUAUUUUUGAAUUUAAUUCUUCUUGAAAUUGAUUCAGACAAAAGUGGAAAACCAGGUACUCUCUGAGAAGGUCAUAGUGUUUGCCACUAUUGAGUUAAUUACUUGGGCUUAUACUGCAUCAGAUUUAUUAUAUUCUGAGCAACUUAGCUAAGUUACAAGAAAAUAAAAAGCUACAAAAGAAUAUUUAAUUUGAUUGCAUAAUACUAAAUCUUCACCACCUCCUGGGUCCCUAAUUAAAUCUUAUUUUUACACGGUGCCUUGUUUUUGAAUAUGGGCAGUUCUGAAAGUCUCAAAAGGGAAUUUAUGAUACAGGAAAUCCAGAAACUCACUUUGAGACAAUGUGGACUUCUAAUAAUUCUACCACUGUCUCUGCCGGAAGGCCAAACAUACAAUUGUCUUCUUAGCUUGAUGCUUUUAUUGUUUUUCUCUUGGUUUUGAAUCAGACCUAGACUCAACAAAGACCCACCUAUGGUUUCUGCCUGUCCCCCGCUGUAAUUCCAAUAACUGUGCUUGGGCAUUAUGUCAGACCUUUUGGCAUCAUUUGAAGCAUUUGAUUAUUGAAUUCUGUUGACUUGCUAGAAAGAAAGUGGGGUCAGAAGGGCAGGCCUAAAAUAGUUAUACUUCUUUCAGUCCUGAGAGAUAUAUUAGGAGAGUUUUCAGAAGGUAUUUUUCUCAUUUUACAGUUUCUGAGAUGGACUUCUCAGACACUUGGUAUUUUCUCUUCCUUUCAUUGUAUGCACUGUUUAUUAUAAAAACAGAGAAUCUUGAAGCAACUUACACAUUGAAAAAUUGUUAUUCAAGAUUUCUCCUUUUGCCUGACUUGCACUGUGCUGUUCUUUAUUUUAAGGUAUCUGGCAAAAGUGAACCUAUUUUUUUCAACCUGGUUGAAACCUGGUUUGAAAAAACUGCUGGUAAUUCCAAAAAAAAACAUGAGAAAUGAAGAACAGCCCAUGUGAGUCAGGAAUCUCUCUUUUGUUCUUGUGAGGCUACAGUGAAACAAAGAUUCUUAGCCAUACUGAGGCUCUUGUAACUUGUUCAAUACUUCACACCAGAGUCUAUAGUAAUUAUAAAUUCAAGAAAAAUUUCUCUAUUCUUCAGCUUCUUUUCAGUGGCAUAUUUUCCUCAUUCACUAAGCUAUGUUUCAGGUGGUUUAGCAUUUGAUUGUGACUCAUUUAAUGUGAUUUUUUAAAAUAACAUUUGUUAUUGCAUCACAUUGUAAAAAUAAUUGAAAUGGAUGCAAUUCAAGGAUGUGAUUUAAUUAACUAGGACUUUUCCCCUACACUGAGAAAAUGAUAAUGGGGGCUUUACUAGGCAAACUAAAAUACCUCAACCAAGACAACUCACUAUUCAAAGAAUCAGAGCAAGCUUACAAAAGUCUCCUGUAAUGAGAAGACUGUCUGAAAAUACAGUUUUCAGCUUUGGAGUGAGUAUAUGCUGAGCUGCUAGACUCUACCAUUUUCUACGCAGAAAUGCAUCUUAAUUGUUGUAUCACUUCUGAAUUUUGGAAGGAAAAUUGGCAAUGUGUGUGCCAUUUCUAGCAAAGGGAAAAAAAGUUAAUUGGGUUUCUGUAUACCAUGCCUUCAGUAAUGGUCCGGAAGAUGGAACUGCAAAAGGCUCUUUUUUUGCUCCAGGACUAUAUUUCAUUUGUCAAAAUGAAGAGAGGAUAUCAGAUCAUUCCUAAUACUGAGUAAUAUUCUCCCAGUUGAGCAGAGCACCACUCUGUACCAGGCAUUAGCAAAGCAGGGCAUGCUGACUAGAAGAGACUUGCUGGUGAUAUUUUAGCCUAGUCAAGUGAUGGCCUCUGACCACAAAGAACAUUGGCUGGGGCUCUGUCAAAUUAUCCAAGGGAUUUUCAGCUGAGUCGUCUCUCUGUUCUCCCACUUGGAGUCAUUUGAUACCCGUUUCAGAGCCAUCUAUUGUAAAGAGAACUUCAAAAUGUCAAGGAGAAUUCACUACCUACAGAAUGAAGGAAAGACCAUGUGAGGACACAGUGAGGAGGCAGCCAUCUGCACGCCAGGAAGAAAGGCUUCCUUGCUUGAUCUUGGACUUCUGGCCUCCAGAAAUGAACUCACCUGGAGUGUCCAUGAAGGUCAUACUAUUGACAUACUUCUGAAAAAUAGAAUAUAGAGGAAGCAAUGGUAUGUCAUUUGAGAUUAGAUUACAAAGAGACCCUGGCUUCUACCUGAAGAUGCUCCCUAAAUCACUCUUUAAGGGAAACCUCUUCCACGUUGUACAGUUCCCCUGUGGAGAGAACCAUGUGGACAAGAAACUGAUGUCUUUGGCUAACAGCCAGUAAGGACCUGAGACCUGCCAAGAAUUACAUAAAUGUGUUUUUGGACAGGUAUAUUCAUCUAGCCCAGCCUCGUAUGAUUGGAGAUCCAGCCAACAACUUCAUGGCACCCUUGCAAAGCAUAUUGAUCCUGAGAAAUCCACUUAAACUUUGCCCAGAUUCCUGAUCCACAACUUUGGGAUAAUGAAUGUCUGAUGUUUUUAGCCACUAAGUUUUGGUAAUUUUUGUGUGCACUAAAAGGUAACAAAUACAUUUGUUAUAAUGGCAUCUCUCCUUACAAUUUUUUCAGUGUAUCCUUAAGUUUGCCUCCCUUCCAGUAUUUGCUUUUACCCUGAGUUUUAGUCUAUUAAUCUCUUAGAUUGGCUUAUAGUAAUUAUCUACAUAAUUACCUAUUAUAAUUAUUAUUGAUAUAAUGUAUACUAUAAUCUAUAUAUUAUAAUAUAGAUUAACUGUAUUAUAAUACAUAGUAGAAAAAAGUUAGCUUGUUAUUAUAGAAUAUUUUAAGGAUAUACAAAGGUAAAGUAAACAAAUAUAAUAGAUUCCCAUGUCCCUAUCACCCACUUUCAACACUUAUGGUCAAUAUUGAUACAACACAACAUUGUUGACACAACAACCCAUAGUCAAUACCAUUUCGUCUCUACCUUUACUCACUCAUCUCUCUCAGAUUAUUUUCAAGCAAGUCCCAGACAAAUAAUUUAUUCUAUAAAAUUUUUAGUAUGUAUCCCUCUUUAGUAAAACAUUUUAAGGUUAUGAGUUAACCGUAGAAAUUAUAUCAAGGGGUAGUCGGGCAACAGAGAUAAGACCUUCAGAGCAAAGCCAGGUAUAGUUAUUCAAGUUAAUAUUCUUCUACUCGGGAUAUGAAUAAAGUAUUGGAAAAUGCUAAGACUGAAUGAGACUGGAGUAAGAAAGCUCUUUGUCAUGGACAGGAAUUUUGGGUUAGAGAUCAGCAAGCUAGAGAGGGAAAACAGUUGAAGAAAGAAAGGGGAAUCCAGGAGCAUGACAAUAGGAUAAAGCCAAAGUCAGAUGUAUAACUGAUGAUGGUUAACUGCAGUGAGAAUGAUCAAGUGACGUUUAAGACCAAGGCUGUCUAACACUGAAGGUUAGAUGACAUCAAAUAUGUUACAUAUUUUAUAUAUUUCUCAUUUAGUCCCCCAAGUCCUUCAGGAAAAUCUGCUAUGUACAUAUCCUAUACUCAGAGGACUUUAGUAGUAAACAGUUUGGACAGUGUAAAGCAGAGUAAAAUAUGGCCUUACAGAUAGGAAGUGAAAGGCUGAGAAGAACUUGAUAAUUCAAUGGAGCAAGAACUAGAAGUCAGAGUGAUCAGAAAAAAUGCAAGUGACAUCCCCCCAUUGAUCAAACCCAAUAGGAAUCAAUGUAGCUAUGGAAAAAUAUGCUAGGUUUCCAAUAAUAUGUGAGAAGAGAAUUCAACAGACUUUUUUGUUUAAACACUGAAGGAAAAGUGAGUCUAGGAAUCUAGAGAAUAUGUCAUUACACCGAGAGGCUGCCAUUUUUGUUGCACACACAGGCACACAGACUCACCUGCAAAUGUACCUCCUGUUGAUGAAAUCAAGAACAACCCUAGUACUGAGGCCUAUUGUAAUAUCUAUAAGUUAUGAUGCAUUUUGUAAAAGAAAAAAAGUUUUACCACCUGGUUCUACUGUCAGUGAACUACCAGAAAUGAUCAUGUACAAAUAUAAAUGGCCCAGCUGAGUACAUCUGCAGAAUACAGAAACGGUUUUUCCUGCAAAUUGCUCAAACUGGGCUAUUAAGGAUACAAAAAUAGAACAAGGAUAUUAUACUCAACUGAUAUGAAAAAAGCUUUUAAGUUGAGUCAGUGGAUUACAGUUUUUGGGUAAAUAAGAAUUCUGUUGAAGAAAUUUUUUUAUUAUCAGUUGUAAAAAUCUUGUGGCAAAUAAAAUCUAAUUUACUAUGUCUCAAAACAUUUUUUUAAAAUAGAAAUUUUGGUUUAUUUGUUUCAUAUAAUCAAGGCUGCAUAAGACAGAGAGAAUUGUAUAUAUGGAUUCCCUAUCCUGGUCUUAAAAAUGUAGUUUUUUAAGUAACAGUACCUAUAAUUCACAACUCUACCUACCUAUAAAACUGGGAGUUUUCAUCUCAAUCACCUAACUCACUGGACUGGAGGAAGACUUUAUUUUUCUUGGAUUUUAUUGUCAAACACAGAGGAAUAAUAUUACAGAGCAAUUUCCUCUCUAUUGCCUAGAGCAAUGACAAAACCAAAAAUGUGUACAAGAGUAAAAUGUGGUGUCAGUCAAAAAACAAUCAAUUUUACCAUAU
This is a long non-coding RNA of Callithrix jacchus (white-tufted-ear marmoset), 11023 nucleotides long. RefSeq lists it as uncharacterized. The record is from RefSeq and is a predicted model, not a curated record. NCBI's taxonomy places the organism in Eukaryota, Metazoa, Chordata, Mammalia, Primates, Cebidae.